CUGAGCCCAACAGAGCAGAGCCUGAGAGCAACCCCACGAGAAAACCACGAUCCCGGGUAACGCCAGGAGUUCCAGACAGUGCGAGCAGAGCAGCAAAGCAAGGCAAAAACCCCUGAGGUGGGAAAGAAAUGAGAAGGAGAAACACUGGGCUUAUUCUUAAUCGCUUUGCAUUUCCACAGAAAGCACUGUCAGCCCACAGAAGCUUCGGGAACCAUAGCACCCCCACCCCCACUCACCGGCGUGGCUAGGCCUGGCCAUGUCUGUCACCAAAUCUGUCCUGCCCCUGCGACUCACUGGGUACCAUGUGAGCCAAGCCUGCACCAGUGUGAGGACGGAACUGCUGUGUCUGUGCGACCAAGUGGGUGCUUAAGAAGGACUCCUCGAGGCAAGACUUAUUUUUUCUUAGGAGACGGCCUGGCUUUGUGGUCCAGGCUGGCCUUGAACUUGCUAUGUAGCCAAGGCUGGCCUCCAACACACAAUGAUCCUCCUGCCUCAGCCUCCCCAGUGCUGGGAUUACAGGGAUGUGGCACCACAUCCAGCCGAAGCAAGAGUUCAAAAUUAAAGCAUCCUGUGCCCCCAGAUGUCUGGCUCUGCCUUGCUGUCCCAGGCCAGCAGCCUCUAGUGGGGCACGAGGGGCCAUGGGGCCACAGCUCAACUCCCAGACACCCUCUCUGGGCUCAGACUCUUGAGCGAAGGGACAGCAAAGUGUGUGAGCCCGCCCGGAUCUGGCCAUCAGCUGACGCUGCUCCCCAGAGUGGGGGGAGCAGCCCCCCCCACCCCCGGCCGGAUGCUCAGUUUCCCUUCCACUGAAGUCUGUUUCCCCGGGCAUGGUGGCGCACGCCUGAAACCCAAGCACUCUGGGAGGCUGAGGCAGGAGGAUCGCAAGUUUGUGCCCGACCUGAGAAACAGCAACUUAGUGAGACUCUGUCUCAAGAUAAAAAAUCAGGAGGCUGUAGCUCAGCGGGGGGACCUGGGUUCAAUCCCCCAGUGCUGAAAAAAACCUGUUUCUAGUUAAAAGUAGCCAGAGCUAAUUUCUCCCAUUUGUAGCUGAAAAAUCCCAAAGGACGCGGCUCACAGCAACCCGUCAGCACGCGGGUGUGCGUGGACUCGCACGUGCACGUCGCGGGGGCACAGCGCUGUCUCGUCCGCAGGCGACUCACUCACGAGCGUGCGCAGUCUGACCCCGGAUUCCCUCUCCACAUCCGGCCACGAGCUGAUGAGAAACCGGGAGGGCCAGUGCACUGCGUGAGCGCGAGUGUGAGAGCGUGCAGCCUGGGGAAAAAUCCUGCCGACUCGCCACGCUGUUGGAGCGCACGCCCGCUCUACCAGGGGCGCGGGCCUUGCCGUCAGCGUCCUCUGCAGGCGCAGCCACCCCAAGCUUCCGCCGACCCUGACCCCAGCCCCAGCCCUCAACCCACGACCCGAGGCCACAGAGGCCCACAGGGUGAGCCCGUCUAACCCGGGCACCCAGGCUUUCACGCUGGAGGAGUGGCCGGGGAGGGGAGGGAGAGAGACAGAGGGAGGGAGAGACAGAGGGACAGAGAGAGACAGAGACAGAGAGACAGAGACAGGGAGAGAGACGAGAGAGAGACAGAGAGACAGAGGGAGAGAGAGAGGCCAUCUCCCCUCCCCUCUCCCCCACUCCCUCCGACAGUGCAGAGCAGGCUGCUGCCCAGCAGGAAGGAAAAGGCCACCAUCAGGGCAAGGCAAGUGUUGUGGGCACAGCGGCCCUGUGUUGCUUGCCUGUCUGCACACGGAGUCACCUGCCCGCUCCUCGGAUUUCUGCAGCUCCCCUGCGGCUCUGUCUGUGGCCCAGGCCCUGCUGGCGUGGAGUUUGUCCGACCCUCUGCGAGUGAGGCCCGGCACAGAUGGACGUUGCUCUCUGCUGUCCCUAGAACCCGGUGUCCCUCGCCUUUAGUCCACAGCAGGUGCUGUCUGCCGGCCCUGGCUCCCGCUUUGGCACCGAGUCCCCCUGGAGGCGAGGCGGGUUCUGCUUGUGUCGCAGGAGCUGGCUUGGACCACAGUGGGGCUUCUCAGGGUCUUCCCUGGGGCCACCCCAAGAAACUGCUCUGAUUGUGGGGGCCCUGUGCCCGCAGACCGUGCUGUGGAGGGGAAGUGUCCUUGGCUGCAUUCACCCCCGCCCUCUGGGAAAGGUUUCAGUGCCCUGGCAUCAAAUUUAUAACCAUGUUGUAUGUGACCCAUUGUCCUUGUCUCACCGGGGGUUGAACCCAGGGCCUUCACGCUGAGCUACACCCCACCCUUUUCUCAUUUUGUAUUUGGAGACAG
Long non-coding RNA from Heterocephalus glaber (naked mole-rat), 2286 nucleotides. The record is from Ensembl. Lineage: Eukaryota; Metazoa; Chordata; Mammalia; Rodentia; Bathyergidae.